This 873-nucleotide ribosomal RNA is filed under the name uncultured rumen bacterium. RNAcentral's name for it is "bacterial SSU rRNA". It matches the Rfam family "Bacterial small subunit ribosomal RNA", at positions 8 to 879 of the family's 1533-position model. The record is from RNAcentral.
AGAGUUUGAUCCUGGCUCAGGAUGAACGCUAGCGGCAGGCCUAAUACAUGCAAGUCGUACGGUAAACGGUCCUUCGGGGCCGUGAGAGUGGCGGACGGGUGCGUAACGCGUAUGCAACCCACCCCCGACGGGCAGAUAGCCGGUGGAAACGCCGGAUAACCCGCCAUGCGCCCCCGGGAGGGCAUCCUCCUUGGUGCAAAGCGGCGACGCGGUCGGGGACGGGCAUGCGUCCCAUUAGAUUGUUGGCGGGGCGACGGCCCACCAAGUCGACGAUGGGUAGGGGAUCUGAGAGGACGGUCCCCCACACUGGUACUGAGACACGGACCAGACUCCUGCGGGAGGCAGCAGUAAGGGAUAUUGGUCAAUGGUCGGAAGACUGAACCAGCCAUGCCGCGUGAGGGAAUGAGGCCCUACGGGUCGUGAACCUCUUUUAUUCGGGGACAAUGACGCGGUCGCGAACCGUGUUUGAGGGUACCGAAGGAAUAAGCGUCGGCUAACUCCGUGCCAGCAGCCGCGGUAAUACGGAGGACGCGAGCGUUAUCCGGAUUCAUUGGGUUUAAAGGGUGCGCAGGCGGCCGAGCAAGUCAGCGGUGAAAGCCCGGGGCCCAACCCCGGAAGUGCCGUUGAUACUGUUGGGCUUGAAUGCGGUCGAGGCGGGCGGAACGUGGCGUGUAGCGGUGAAAUGCGUAGAUAUGCCACAGAACGCCGGUAGCGGAGGCUGCUCGCCAGGCCUGCAUUGACGCUCGGGCACGAAAGCGUGGGGAUCGAACAGGAUUAGAUACCCUGGUAGUCCACGCCGUAAACGAUGGGCGCUCGUCGUCGGCGAUAGAAUGUCGGCGGCCAAGCGAAAGCGAUAAGCGCCCCACCUGGGGA